GACGAACGCUGGCGGCGUGCUUAACACAUGCAAGUCGAACGGAAAGGCCCUGCUUGCAGGGUACUCGAGUGGCGAACGGGUGAGUAACACGUGGGUGAUCUGCCCUGCACUUCGGGAUAAGCUUGGGAAACUGGGUCUAAUACCGGAUAGGAGCCAUCUUUAGUGUGGUGGUUGGAAAGUUUUUUCGGUGUAGGAUGAGCUCGCGGCCUAUCAGCUUGUUGGUGGGGUAAUGGCCUACCAAGGCGGCGACGGGUAGCCGGCCUGAGAGGGUGUACGGCCACAUUGGGACUGAGAUACGGCCCAGGCUCCUACGGGAGGCAGCAGUGGGGAAUAUUGCACAAUGGGCGCAAGCCUGAUGCAGCGACGCCGCGUGGGGGAUGAAGGCCUUCGGGUUGGAAACUCCUUUCGCUAGGGACGAAGCUUUGUUGUGACGGUACCUAGAGAAGAAGCACCGGCUAACUACGUG
Molecule: ribosomal RNA, 466 nt
Filed under: uncultured bacterium
Lineage: Bacteria
Description: partial 16S ribosomal RNA
Rfam family: Bacterial small subunit ribosomal RNA
Source: RNAcentral